CCUAACAGUCUUAAACUAAAUUUUCAAGCAAUACUAUAGCUCCCUGGAAGUCAACAAAAGUUAUUCAUUACAUGUUUCUCCCAUCACCCAUGACAGCCUUUCAUCACUCCAAACAACAUUCUCUGGUCUUCCCCCUCUUCUCUAACCCACACCACCUUUUUAUUGCAUUACAUUUUCAUCUUAUUUCUCAGGAAGAAUGACCAACAUUAGAGUCUCCUAAGAUACUCUAGGUGUACCUCAACAUUAUUUCUCAUCCACCACUGCUUUGCCAACAUCUCUGACAACAAACUUCUUAUAAAGCAAUCUCACCCUGCCACCACCUCACUCCUAUUACAGUGUUCAGUUCUUGGACAUCUUCUUUUAUGGAUUCCUUUCUGACAUUUCUCAUUGUAUUGCAUGUUGUCACAUUUCUUGCAAAAAAUUAACCCUUCCCUUUUAAAUUUUAUUAUUCUGUAGCGCUGUACAAUGGGUGGACUAACAGACAUGUAUUUGUAACCAGACAACUGGACGUACAGGGAAAGAGAGGUGGAGGGCCUUGCUCAAUGAGCUUACAUUCUAGAGGGAGUGAGGUAUGGUGACACAAAGAUUUAACUAUCUCCCAGUCACCCACAGCUCACAACCUUAUUGUCAUCACAUAUACUGUUAUUUUCGGUCUGUUGCUUCCACCUUUUUAACCCUAUGGAGGACUUUGUGAUUUAUAAAAUUUUGCAGACCAAUGUUAAAUUAAAAUUAUGUAAAAAU
Molecule: non-coding RNA, 741 nt
Organism: Pelobates cultripes (western spadefoot toad)
Lineage: Eukaryota; Metazoa; Chordata; Amphibia; Anura; Pelobatidae
Source: the annotation of a GenBank genome assembly